UGCUGGGCUGGCCCACACGCGCUUGCGUUGAACCGUGCUCGUGCGUGGGUCUGGUCUAGGCCUAGCCUGCCUGCUGGGUCCGGGUCGGGCUUCUCACAUGGGCUUCAUCCUAAUAAUUUUUCCACUUGAAGACAUGUGCCGAACUCACGAGAACGUCAUCCCUGGAGGCCUUGCCAAUCUCCCACUCCUCAUGUAGCUUCA
Molecule: long non-coding RNA, 201 nt
Filed under: Elaeis guineensis (African oil palm)
Lineage: Eukaryota; Viridiplantae; Streptophyta; Magnoliopsida; Arecales; Arecaceae
Description: long non-coding RNA (EGUI_LNC033296)
Source: RNAcentral